Molecule: ribosomal RNA, 468 nt
Filed under: uncultured bacterium
Lineage: Bacteria
Description: partial 16S ribosomal RNA
Rfam family: Bacterial small subunit ribosomal RNA
Source: RNAcentral
GACGAACGCUGGCGGCGUGCUUAACACAUGCAAGUCGAACGGAAAGACCCUGCUUUUGUGGGGUGCUCGAGUGGCGAACGGGUGAGUAACACGUGAGUAACCUGCCCUUGACUUUGGGAUAACUUCAGGAAACUGGGGCUAAUACCGGAUAGGAGCUCCUGCUGCAUGGUGGGGGUUGGAAAGUUUCGGCGGUUGGGGAUGGACUCGCGGCUUAUCAGCUUGUUGGUGGGGUAGUGGCUUACCAAGGCUUUGACGGGUAGCCGGCCUGAGAGGGUGACCGGCCACAUUGGGACUGAGAGACGGCCCAGACUCCUACGGGAGGCAGCAGUGGGGAAUAUUGCACAAUGGGCGGAAGCCUGAUGCAGCAACGCCGCGUGCGGGAUGACGGCCUUCGGGUUGUAAACCGCUUUCGCCUGUGACGAAGCGUGAGUGACAGUAAUGGGUAAAGAAGCACCGGCUAACUACGUG